Molecule: ribosomal RNA, 822 nt
Filed under: Monothalamids sp.
Lineage: Eukaryota; Foraminifera
Description: SSU rRNA
Rfam family: Eukaryotic small subunit ribosomal RNA
Source: RNAcentral
AAGGGCACCACAAGAACGCGUGGAGCAUGUGGCUUAAUUUGACUCAACGCGGGGAAUCUUACCGGGUCCGGACACACUGAGGAUUGACAGGCGCAAGGAGCUUCGGCUCUGUAAAUUUGCUAGUCCUUUCAUGAUUGUGUGAUAGGUGGUGCAUGGCCGUUCUUAGUUCGUGGAAUAAUCUGUCUGCUUAAUUGCGUUUUUUCAAUUGUGCCUUGAUACCCAAUACGCCUUCUGCGGACAGUAAUCCGUCUCGCUUUAAGUGAGUUCGGUUUGCUGGACCAGAUAGGUGGGUUUUCAGGGCCUUCUGAAACGAACGAGACCCCAACCCUUCUUUUUCAAUGUUAUACAACGAUCUGUUGUUACUUUUUUGUUUCUCAGAGGAGGCAGCUUGCUGUUUUCCUUCUGUUUAGCAUUCUACAACGUUGUCAACAGAAGGGGACUGUUACAUUUUAAUGUAAAGGAAGGUUGGGGCAAUAACAGGUCUGUGAUGCCCUUAGAUGUUCCGGGCUGCACACGUGCUACAAUGAUCUAUGCACUAAGCAUCUUUUAGUUCCGUAAUGUGCGUGUACAUUGUACGCGACACAUACGCGGCGUGCCUACUUCGAGAGCUAGUAGGUAAUCACUUGGUAAUAUAGAUUUCCUUUGCAUUGUAACACCAGUCUCUACUUGUAGAACUGGGAGUUACGUGUUUUCAAAUUAUGACUUCUUAGUGGGGACAGACCAUUGUUAAUUGUUGGUCUCGCUUUAACUAGGAAUGCCUUGUACAGGUGGUUCAACAGACCGCCUGGAAUACGUCCCUGCCCUUUGUACACACCGCCCGUC